UACGUAGGCAGCAAGCGUUGUUCGGAAUUACUGGGCGUAAAGAGUGUGUAGGCGGUGCUCUAAGUUCGGUGUGAAAUCUCCCGGCUCAACUGGGAGGGUGCGCCGAAAACUGGAGUGCUGGAGCGCGGGAGAGGGAAAGCGGAAUUCCUGGUGUAGCGGUGAAAUGCGUAGAUAUCAGGAGGAACACCGGCGGUGUAGACGGCUUUCUGGACCGUAGCUGACGCUGAGACACGAAAGCGUGGGUAGCAAACAGG
Molecule: ribosomal RNA, 254 nt
Filed under: uncultured bacterium
Lineage: Bacteria
Description: partial 16S ribosomal RNA
Rfam family: Bacterial small subunit ribosomal RNA
Source: RNAcentral